UCCCUGGUGGUCCAGUGGUUAAGACUCUGAGUUCCUGAUGCAGGGGACAUGGGUUCGAUUCCUGGUCGGGGAA
Ovis aries (sheep) is the source of this 73-nucleotide transfer RNA. It matches the Rfam family "tRNA". Rfam says of the family: Transfer RNA (tRNA) molecules are approximately 80 nucleotides in length. Their secondary structure includes four short double-helical elements and three loops (D, anti-codon, and T loops). Further hydrogen bonds mediate the characteristic L-shaped molecular structure. tRNAs have two regions of fundamental functional importance: the anti-codon, which is responsible for specific mRNA codon recognition, and the 3' end, to which the tRNAs corresponding amino acid is attached (by aminoacyl-tRNA synthetases). tRNAs cope with the degeneracy of the genetic code in two manners: having more than one tRNA (with a specific anti-codon) for a particular amino acid; and 'wobble' base-pairing, i.e. permitting non-standard base-pairing at the 3rd anti-codon position. The record is from Rfam. Lineage: Eukaryota; Metazoa; Chordata; Mammalia; Artiodactyla; Bovidae.